RNAcentral lists this ribosomal RNA (407 nucleotides) under uncultured bacterium. Its description in RNAcentral is "partial 16S ribosomal RNA". It matches the Rfam family "Bacterial small subunit ribosomal RNA", at positions 355 to 754 of the family's 1533-position model. The record is from RNAcentral.
UGGGGAAUUUUGGACAAUGGGCGAAAGCCUGAUCCAGCAAUGCCGCGUGUGUGAAGAAGGCCUUCGGGUUGUAAAGCACUUUUGUCCGGAAAGAAAUCCUUGGCUCUAAUACAGUCGGGGGAUGACGGUACCGGAAGAAUAAGCACCGGCUAACUACGUGCCAGCAGCCGCGGUAAUACGUAGGGUGCAAGCGUUAAUCGGAAUUACUGGGCGUAAAGCGUGCGCAGGCGGUUUGCUAAGACCGAUGUGAAAUCCCCGGGCUCAACCUGGGAACUGCAUUGGUGACUGGCAGGCUAGAGUAUGGCAGAGGGGGGUAGAAUUCCACGUGUAGCAGUGAAAUGCGUAGAGAUGUGGAGGAAUACCGAUGGCGAAGGCAGCCCCCUGGGCCAAUACUGACGCUCAUACAA